Molecule: ribosomal RNA, 119 nt
Filed under: Pteropus alecto (black flying fox)
Lineage: Eukaryota; Metazoa; Chordata; Mammalia; Chiroptera; Pteropodidae
Also listed under: 1 other name
Source: RNAcentral
GUCUACGGCUAUGCUACCCUGAACAAGCCCAAUCCCAUCUGAUCUUGGAAGCUAAGCGGGGUUGGGCCUGGUUAGUACUUGGAUGGGAGACCACCUAAGAAGACCAGAUGCUGUAGGUG